GAUGAAGAACGUAGCGAAAUGCGAUAAGUAGUGUGAAUUGCAGAAUUCAGUGAAUCAUCGAAUCUUUGAACGCACAUUGCGCCCGCCAGUAUUCUGGCGGGCAUGCCUGUCUGAGCGUCAUUUCAACCCUCACGCCCCUAGGGCGUGGUGUUGGGGAUCGGCCAGCGCCCUCGCGGGCGAGGCCGUCCCCUAAAUCUAGUGGCGGACCCGUCGUGGCCUCCCCUGCGAAGUAGUGAUAUUCCGCAUAGGAGAGCGACGAGCCCCUGCCGUUAAACCCCCAACUUUCUCAGGUUGACCUCAGAUCAGGUAGGAAUACCCGCUGAACUUAAGCAUAUCAAUAAGCGGAGGA
RNAcentral lists this unclassified non-coding RNA (349 nucleotides) under soil metagenome. RNAcentral's name for it is "partial contains 5.8S ribosomal RNA, internal transcribed spacer 2, and large subunit ribosomal RNA". The stretch from base 1 to 120 matches the Rfam family "5.8S ribosomal RNA", at positions 35 to 154 of the family's 154-position model. The record is from RNAcentral.